AUUGAACGCUGGCGGCAGGCCUAACACGCAAGUCGAAUGGUAACAGGAAACAGCUUGCUGUUUCGCUGACGAGUGGCGGACGGGUGAGUAAUGUCUGGGAAACUGCCUGAUGGAGGGGGAUAACUACUGGAAACGGUAGCUAAUACCGCAUAACGUCGCAAGACCAAAGAGGGGGACCUUCGGGCCUCUUGCCAUCAGAUGUGCCCAGAUGGGAUUAGCUAGUAGGUGGGGUAACGGCUCACCUAGGCGACGAUCCCUAGCUGGUCUGAGAGGAUGACCAGCCACACUGGAACUGAGACACGGUCCAGACUCCUACGGGAGGCAGCAGUGGGGAAUAUUGCACAAUGGGCGCAAGCCUGAUGCAGCCAUGCCGCGUGUAUGAAGAAGGCCUUCGGGUUGUAAAGUACUUUCAGCGGGGAGGAAGGGAGUAAAGUUAAUACCUUUGCUCAUUGACGUUACCCGCAGAAGAAGCACCGGCUAACUCCGUG
This 488-nucleotide ribosomal RNA is filed under the name uncultured bacterium. RNAcentral's name for it is "partial 16S ribosomal RNA". It matches the Rfam family "Bacterial small subunit ribosomal RNA", at positions 30 to 507 of the family's 1533-position model. The record is from RNAcentral.